UACGGAGGGUGCGAGCGUUAAUCGGAAUUACUGGGCGUAAAGCGUACGUAGGCGGCAAAUCAAGUUGGGUGUGAAAUCCCGAGGCUUAACCUCGGAACUGCAUUCAAAACUGGUUCGCUUGAGUAUGGUAGAGGAGAGGGGAAUUCCCGGUGUAGCGGUGAAAUGCGUUGAUAUCGGGAGGAACAUCAGUGGCGAAGGCGCCUCUCUGGACCAAUACUGACGCUGAGGUACGAAAGCGUGGGGAGCAAACAGG
Molecule: ribosomal RNA, 253 nt
Filed under: uncultured bacterium
Lineage: Bacteria
Description: partial 16S ribosomal RNA
Rfam family: Bacterial small subunit ribosomal RNA
Source: RNAcentral